AUACGAAGGGUGCAAGCGUUACUCGGAAUUACUGGGCGUAAAGCGUGCGUAGGUGGUUGUUUAAGUCUGUCGUGAAAGCCCUGGGCUCAACCUGGGAAUGGCGAUGGAAACUGGGCGACUAGAGUGUGGCAGAGGGUAAUGGAAUUCCUGGUGUAGCAGUGAAAUGCGUAGAGAUCAGGAGGAACAUCCGUGGCGAAGGCGACUGCCUGGGCCAACACUGACACUGAGGCACGAAAGCGUGGGGAGCAAACAGGAUUAGAUACCCUGGUAGUCCACGCCCUAAACGAUGCGAACUGGAUGUUGGGUGCAAUUUGGCACGCAGUAUCGAAGCUAACGCGUUAAGUUCGCCGCCUGGGGAGUACGGUCGCAAGACUGAAACUCAAAUGAAUUGACGGGG
RNAcentral lists this ribosomal RNA (397 nucleotides) under uncultured bacterium. RNAcentral describes it as "partial 16S ribosomal RNA". It matches the Rfam family "Bacterial small subunit ribosomal RNA", at positions 523 to 918 of the family's 1533-position model. The record is from RNAcentral.